UGCUCUAGAGAGCAGAAGAGAAAGUUCUAGUCCAAUCUCCUCGUGUUUGGCGGCAGCCUCCUUAAUUAGCAGACUCUUUACCCCCACUUAGGCCAAUCAAACCCGGAGGCUGACAGCAGCAGAGGCUUUUACAGGGGUUAUCAGGGUGGGUACCUUAGAGGCUGCGUCUUUGAAAGGGCACCCCAAGAGUCCCCAUCCCUACAUCAAGAGAACAUUAAGGGAAAAUUUUCGUUAAUCUGCGAGCCACAGCACCUACAGGCGACUAAACACUUCGGUGGUGGAAGAUUUCAAGGGAAGUGCAGAGAAGGAAGCCUAAAUAAAAACAGGAAACCCGAUUUUAAAAAAGAAGAAGCCUCAUUCUGGCUGAAUUACGGGUAAGAGUAUUAAAAAGAAGUGGGGGGGAAAAAAA
Long non-coding RNA from Lynx canadensis (Canada lynx), 409 nucleotides. RefSeq lists it as uncharacterized. The record is from RefSeq and is a predicted model, not a curated record. Lineage: Eukaryota; Metazoa; Chordata; Mammalia; Carnivora; Felidae. The transcript has 2 exons.